This is an RNA transcript of Frankliniella occidentalis (western flower thrips), 2711 nucleotides long. RefSeq lists it as uncharacterized. Lineage: Eukaryota; Metazoa; Arthropoda; Insecta; Thysanoptera; Thripidae. The transcript is spliced from 7 exons. The record is from RefSeq and is a predicted model, not a curated record.
CAGCGCGGUGCAGUCGCUGAGUACUAGUCGUGGCGGCGCGCGAAGGGGGGCCGCGAGAGAGGACCGCCGAGAGCAGGGGACCCCUUACCGAACCGUUCGCCGCAGUACGACCCUCGCCUCACCCCCAGCCUGGCACACCCCAACCCCCCGCUCCGAACGCCUUCAAGUUCCCCACCCCGACCACACCGACCCCACUGAGUGGCUGGAUGUCGCUGUUGGGACGCCGGAUGAAGCGCCGUCGUCUCCAGGGCUGGUGCUGAGAUGGAACAGCUGCCCGAGGAGCUGGUGCACCUGAUCCUGGGGUUGCUGGACGAGCGGACCCUGCGCCGGUCCGUGCCGGCCGUGUGCCGCCUGUGGAAGCGCCUCGCCCGGACGCGCGGGGCGUGGAGGAACACGGUCAUCACCUUCGAGCGAGAGGCGGACUUCGCCGAGCGUGUCGGAUGGACGCCGCCGGCGGUGCUGGCGCUGGAGCUGCGCAAGGGCGGCGCCCCGGGCUGCCUGAGCGAGGAGCAGUGGCGCACCGUGCUCAACUGCGCCUCGCACGCGCGCCGCCUGCGGGGCGCCUCGUGCUCGGGGGCGCCCCGCGGCCUGCACCGGGGCUCGCUGGCGGGCGGCGGCGCCCUCAGCGGCGCCCUGGGCCGGGGCGCCCACUGCCGCCGCCGCCUGCUCGAGCUGCUCGACAAGUGCUGGCACAGCCUGGAGCACGUGAGCCUGCAGCUGCAGCCGCCCCUCGACGAGGAUACCGCCCAGCUGUGGACCCUGCUCGCGUCCAUGCCGAGGCUGCGUCGUCUCGAGCUCAGCAUGGGCGACAGCCAGACGCCCUGGCUCACCGACCCGGACGUGCUGCCCCAGGAGCUGUGCUGGCGCUGGGACGAGGGCUGGGGCGCCCUCCGCCACCUGGACCUGCGCGGGCUGCCGCCCGGCCCGGCACAGUGGCUGCUGCAGGGGUUCCUCCGGGUGCGCGGCCCCAUGCUCCGGGAGGUCAUCCUCAGCCCCGGCCAGCAGCUCAACCAGCGCUUCAUCCGCGUGCUCAAGCAGUGCCGCCAGCUGGAGCACCUCGGCGUCGGCUGCUGCCACGACCUGUGGCGGCUCGACGCGCUCCCCAACCUCAGCUCGCUGACCCUCCUCGGCCUUCCCCGGCGCGCCACCGCCAUGUGGAUUCUGCGCUCGCCCGUCAUCGCGCACUUGCAGAGCCUCUCCCUGGACGGCGUCAACCCCUCGCUGUUCGACAUCCUGCCCGCCGUGGGGCACACCUGCCACAACCUCCGCUGCAUCACAUUCCGACGCUGCCAGGUGCCGGCGCGCUUCGCGCUGCCGCUGUCGGCGUGCCCGCUGCGGGAGAUCGCCGCCGACAACAUGCGCGCCGAGCACGUGCUGGAGGCGCGCCGCCUGCCGCACCUGCAGCUGCUGCGUCUGUCGGGCCACCUCGGCAACUACAACUCGAUGAUGGUGGCCGUGGAGAGCCUGCGCGCCGCCAACCCGGACCUGAGGGUGGCCGGCCUGGAGGACGGGCUGUUCAACAACUGGGGGCCCGGGGUGCAGCGCGCGCUCGCCCUGGCCAGGCCCACAAACUUCACGGUGGGCUCGCUGCUGCGCGCGGUGUGACGUGAUGGCGGUCAUUGCCCUCGCCGGCCCGGCCUCGGGGCUCCCCGGGGAAGUUCGUUGCCGGGGCCCGGCCGCCAUUGUCGCCGCACGCCCCCGCUGCCCCCGCCGCCCCCGCCGCCGCCGCCCCUGCACACGACCCCCGCCCCCGCGCCGCCCCCGGCCUCCCGGCCCCGACCCUCCGAGCAGCCAGCGCACCGACGAGCCGGCCUCUCGCGACGCACAUGGACCCCGACGCCUACAACGGCGCUGACCGGGGGGCGUACCGCUGGAGCCAGACGCACCAAGACCUCGACGUGCAGGUGCAAAUCCCUCCGUACUUCAUGGAGAAAACACGAGGGGGAAACGUUCACGCACAACAGACACACACAAAGUCAUAUGCAUCUGUUUUGCGAUCGUCGCGAAAAAAAAAAUGACCCGGUCAAUAAACUUUCCAAAACAAAAUUUCUAAAGAGCGGGCGGAUGAAUUUUGGAAAAUAAAAACAGCAAACUUCUCUCUACAACUGACUCUCACGCGCGCGCACAUGCUCAGGGCUGCGUUGUCUCCUUUCUCCCCCAGGUCGUGGUCCCGAAGUCCGUCGUGUCCAGCGGUGCCCUGGAGGUGCUCAUCAGGACCGACUCGCUUCUGGUGCGCCACGGCGAGCGCGACCUGGUGAGCGGCAAGCUCAAGCACGCCGUCAGAGACAAGGAGAGUUUCUGGACUCUGCUCCCGGGACAACACGUGCACGUAGGCAAUGUCGUAGCUCUUGUCUUGAAUGGGCGGUGCGGGCAGGGAGGGCGGGUUUGGUCACCCGCUGGAGGCGCUCCACCUGCACCUGUUCUCGCGCCUGCAGGUGCAGCUGGAGAAGGCGCGGCCCCGCUGGUGGACCAGCCUGCUGGAAGGCGAGCCCCCGGCGGACGUGCCCGCCAGGGAAGUGCCGCUGGAGGAGCUGCGCAGCGAGGAAGCGAUGGUGGUCGAGAAGCUGAGGUGGCAAGACCUCCAGAAGCAGCAGCAGCGAGCCGCACACGGUGACCAAGAGCACGGCCGUGUGCCAGCGUGAUGGGGCGUGACGGGGCCAAGUGUUCCAAGACCUCGACUUUGACUGUCUGUCGAAACUUAAAAAAAACAA